RNAcentral lists this long non-coding RNA (1080 nucleotides) under Bemisia tabaci. RNAcentral describes it as "lncRNA ENSSSA2NGG005176". Lineage: Eukaryota; Metazoa; Arthropoda; Insecta; Hemiptera; Aleyrodidae. The record is from RNAcentral.
AUAACUCAAAAAGCGGCCCUUUGAGGGCACGAUACGUCAUCCAUAAAGGCCAGAGGGUGUACCAUACCUGUAGACCCUGACAAAAGAUAUAAAUAAAAAGUCAUAAAAGUACCCAUUAUCCGAUUUCACACGAGACAAAGAGGAGAUUUGAUCAGAUGAGGAGUCCGAACACUAUCCAAAGGCUUAACGCGCUGGUAAGAUAGCUGUCCCUGAAAACAGAGGACCUGCGGCGUUAUUGCAGGAAGCAUUCGCGGGCCUCGUCGCACACUGGAACGUGCUAGUACAAGAGGUCGCACAUGCAAUUUUUGGCUAAAAUUUCAAAUUUUGAUGUUAAUUUCGUCACAAAUUCAAUUUCAAGGGAUGUUUCUGUAAGAAAAUUUCACGAAAAAACCGAUCAAGUCACACUUACUAUCGUCUUUUUUUCGUUUUUCCAAAAAUAUAAGCUUUCAAAGUUUUCAGAUUUGGUUCGACUUUUCCUAUAAUGACUUGUUCCAGUGUGCGUCGGUCGUCGCUCCAGGCGGGUCCUGCGGGAAGUAGCAACGGCGGAUGCUCCCGGUCGCUUGGCAACGCGAUAUCGAUCUUAGGCGACGCUGCCAAAUUGUGCGCCUUUUACGCUGCCUCCCAUGCAAAACUACCGGCUGAAGGCCUGCGCCUGUUUAUGGGCAUUGGAGGAUAGGUAUAUACAGUUGCAAAUCAGGAUAGGUGUUUUUAUAAGCUCAAGAAAAAAAGUUGCUCGCUUUCCAAAAUUGCUCGCUUUUUUCCGAUCAAAACGACAAAAUUCCCUGACUGUCUGGAUGGUUCUCUUCGCGGGAAGGCCCUUCAUAAAAUACGCGACACUAAGAGGAGAGGGUGAGGGGGGAUUCUGUGCUUACGCCACGGGGGCGUUAGCAGUACGAAAAGAGGGUAUUACGGGCCACGUAAGUAACACUUAAUGCUGUACUUUUAUUUACUCGCUUUUCUUUAAAAGCAGAGUUCUUUUCAUAUUUUGCUUUUCCACUUAAUUGUUUUUAAUACUUACAUUUGUAAUUUUUCUGUUGCUUCAGUAGUCUCUUCUUUCUCUGAAUUGUAUGAUUAAAAAGU